UAGGAUGUGCCCGUAUUGUAUAUUUUUAUAUCCUGUACCUGAAGGAUAAAACUGGUAUAGCAUGGGAAUGUAGGAGGCAUCGCCGACUCGAUAAGGCAUAUACAAGUAUGUAUGUAUGUACAUAUAGGCAUGCCCGUUUGUUUGUCCGUCUGCCUAGAUGAAACGCUGCAUUUUGCAAACGUCUGAGCUCUCACUAAACAAAAUUGUCCUCCGUGGCCAGCAUACUCGAUUAAAAAAAAGUUGUCUAUUCUAAAUAAUAUCGUUUCUAUGAUGUAGUGAUCUGAGUGAACCUGUGCUCGUUGAAAAGAAGCUUCGGUGCACAGUUUUUGAAAGUGAUUGAUUGACUGACUAUGACUGCAUCUGAACUGUCUACCUGGUUGUUACAAAGAACAAAAUACCCUUGAAUGUUUAAGUGAAAUAUUUUUAUUUUAUUUUAUUAAAACUAAUUUUAAACAAGAUACCCGAGCUAGAAAUAUUCCGUUAAUUUAAUGUAGCGUUCGAUUUGAUUUCUUAUUGAGCCAAAAGGUCAGCAUCCGCAACAGUGUAUAUACUAUAUAUAAUACAUUUAUCAACAACUAAAUUGCCUUGAGUUUAAUAAAGGGAAAUGAUUAGCAAA
Scaptodrosophila lebanonensis is the source of this 616-nucleotide long non-coding RNA. RefSeq lists it as uncharacterized. The transcript has 2 exons. The record is from RefSeq and is a predicted model, not a curated record. NCBI's taxonomy places the organism in Eukaryota, Metazoa, Arthropoda, Insecta, Diptera, Drosophilidae.